UCAACCCACGGAAAAUGAGAUUUAGUUGUACUGAAAUGAAGAUUCUCCAAGAUGUGAUCAUUGUGUGAAAGACAAAGGUGUAGAAAAAUAAGUGUGACAGAAUGCCACUUAGAAGAUGGAAAGCCCUGCUCUCCAUUCUUCAGGGACCCAUAGUUAUGAAUGCAAAUACACGGAGAGGGUGGAAACCGCUGUCUCCCAGGAAAGAAGGCAGGGAGAGAGAGCACCUCCAAAGGUCUCUAGGUUUGACACAAAGUUUCAGUUUUUACAGAAAAUUAUGCAUGGUUAUCUGCACAAUUUUUAUAUUUGUGUAAUCAAACAUUCAAAGGGAAAGAAAAGACAGUGAGGUGGUAGAACAAUGAGGCUAUAUGCCUCAGUGCCAGCUCAGAUAUCAUUAUUUAGUUUGACAAUUAAGACAAAAGCCCCAACAUCUGCCAAGAUCAGUUACCAUGUACAGAAUAUAAACCUACCCACACUUCACUCAGAUAGGCUGAUAAUAGCAGUAUCACUUAGCUUUUGUUUUAUUGGGUUUAAAAAAAACAAGCCACCACUCCAACAAAAAUAAACCAUCUAUUUAAAACCAUAGCCCUUUUAUUUAGCUCCCAAAUCUGUGGGUCACCUGGGUGAUUUUUCUGAUCUGGGCCAACCAGGCUGCUAUUUGCUGGGUUUACCCACCAGUGUGCAGCCAGCUGGCAGCUAGGCAAUCUAGAAUCAUCUAACUUGUGUCUGGAAUGCGGCACCUUGUUUUCCUUAACGUGGCUCUUAUCCUCCAACAGUCUAGCUCAGGCUUAUUCACGUGGGGGUGUCAGAGUUCCAAGAGAAUUACUGAGAAUGCUAUAAUGCCCCUUGAGGCACAGGCUCUGAAAUUCACACACUGUCACUUCCACGACAUUCCAUUGGCCAAAGCAUGUAGCAAGACCAGCCCAUGUUCAAAUGGUGGGAAAUAGACUCGACUCUAUUCAGUGAAUAAAAAGAACAGCUCCUCUGUGCCAGGCCCUGUGUUAAGCAUUUUACAUACAUUUUCUCAUUAUCUUCUCACAGCAAGCCUGUGAGCAAGGUAUGGGUAUGUAGUUUCACUGAAGCACGCUGGGGGGUCAGGGAAUGGGCUCCACGAGGCCUUUACUCCUCCCACAGACUCUCUCCUGCAGAUGCCUAGAAGCCACCAUUCCUGAUUCCUGAUUUCACCUGCUGUGGGCUGGAUUGUGUCACUCUGAUUCAUGCGGUUAAGCCUGGAUUCCCGGUGUGGCCAUAUUUGGAGUGUGGGAGUAAUAAGGUUAAAUGAGGUCACAGAAUGAGCCCUGAUCUCAUAGGAUUGGUGUCCUUGUACGAGAAGACACCAGAGAGCUCACCCUCUCUCUCCACCAUCCAAGGUCACAGAAGGUGGCCAUCUGCAAGCCAGCAAGAGGGCUCUCAUCGGAAACCAAAUUGGCUGGCACCUUGAUCUUGGACUUCUAAGGCUUCAGACAGUGAGAAAUCAGUGCCUGUUGUCCAAGCCCCCCGUCUCUGGUAUUUUGUUAUGGCAGCCUGAGCACACUAAGACAUCUGUCUGUCCACUUUUAAAAUACAGUGUCCUCGAGCUGAUGGUUACACCCCCUCCUAAUUCUUCAAAGUGCACACGUUGUUUACUGCUCUCUUUCCCAGCAAGCCACACUUCAGUGUAAAGUUCCUAUGCAGCACCAGUCUCCACCCCCAUUUUUCUCUGCUUUUUUAUGAUUCCUCACUGUGCUUCCUCUGCUUAGAAGACACAGGUUUGGCAAGCACUGCUUAGACCCAACAGGUGUGUCCUAAGUCAAAAGAGAACAUCUCAACAGGAAGAGAAAUGGGUUUGAAGGCACCUUGACUGUUGUGUCUGCCAGAAACACUUCAAAGAUGACGAAAAUAAAGAGGAAACAGCACUCCACCUGGCAGUGCACAGGAAUGGCAUCUUAACCAGUCAAUCUGGAAUUACCUGGUCAGCACUACUGAGAUAAUCUGCCUAACAGACCCCUGCCUCGCCCUAAAGGAAGAUGACUUUGCCUGAAACACGCCACUCUUUGCUCGUCACUUGCUUGUCCUGCUCCCUUCGGCUUCUCAAAGUCUCCAAUUUGGUGGCAAUGGUGGUAUCUGAAAGAGACUUCCUACAGCUUUGGGGACUAUGAGAAGCAAAGCAUGGUCCUCAUGAACCCUUUGAGGUCUCUGUCUUUCUCAUCAUUUCCAAGGGCCGUGGAUAAGUUCCUCUGGGUUCUGAGCUCCCCUGUCUUUCCAUUGAGCUCCUGGUCUAAUUGUCUUUCCAGUCUACAAUCCCAAUUUGAUCAGAAACCCACCCCUUGGCUUAGUCUCCAGAUUCCAUGUUGAGAACUGCUGGUCAUUCAAUCCAGUUCCCCAUUUGUUUGGAAUCCCCGUCCACCGUCCCACUUGUUGAGGUCUGCUGGCUCAAGCCUUUCCCUAGUGCACAGGUGCACAUUAGGAAUGGCUGGUGGUGCACACAGGGGCUUCUAUUGGCCAAUCCAUUGUAAACAUCUGAUUAGUUAUCACUUGUGUUAAGGUGCACAUGAGGUUGUUGUUAAAGGGAAUCUCAAAAGCCAAAAGCCACCAAAUUUGACAGGCAUAGGUUGAGCACUUAACAGCUGUUAGAGUGCUUGCUACCUAACUCUAAGAUUCCUGUGUUAGGAUAAAUUGGUGACGGAAUAGGUUAGAUCAACACUAGCUCACCUCCCAACUCAAGACAAUUUUUGUGCAACAAAGGACACUGUAAGAUGCUACACAAUCCCCAACCCAGCAGCGUGUCUCUCUUGGGUAUUAGUUUGUCUUUGAGAGCCCCAAAGGCCUAGCCUCUGAAAAAAAAUGGGAUCCUUAAAUUCCAAAGACUUGCAUGUACCACCUCCCAGCACCUCUGCUUAUUUUAUGUUUAGGAACGAUAGUUCCAGAAUUGGAGAGAUCUACGAAAAUGGCAAAAUCUUAUUAGAAACAGCCUAGAAUUAUAAUGGCCAUUUAUGGAGGAUGUUCCAAUAAGACAAGGUCAUUCAUCAAGCAAGGGUUCCCCGAUCAAGCAGACAGAAUGGGGUACCUAUUUAAGUGGUAUGCAGCAGCUCCCAAAAGGCUUAAUUUAAAAAAGUAAUUGCAAAAGGCUAAUGAAAAAAUCAAAGACUCAAGAAGUACCUAAAACAAAAGAUAGUAACAUUGACGUGAUUCCUAUUGCUCCCCUCUCUCUUGCUUUACUUGAGUCCAUGGAUUCUACUUAUUCUCUCUCUGAACUGCCUUUCUACUCUGAAGAGACUAUUAAAUAGGUACCUUUAAGAUAAAGCCACUUGGGGUUGCAGGAGGUCCAACUCAGGUAUCUUUCACUCCACAGUCAAAGACUAAACUAAGAGCCACAAUUGAAUUUCCUAAACCCAAGGAGAAUCCCCAGAAGUUUUCUGAAGGAUUUGGAGUCCUUACCAGGCUGCCAGAUCCUUAUCAGCUUGUGCACAUUCUGAUAGGACCUGGUGAAGCGCCAGAGAUGGAUGUGGGGCAGCAGAAUGGUGUAACCCUGAGGAUGACAUCUGAGCACUUCAGUUAUUGACAUGGACCAGAAAAAACUUGCAAGAGAGCAACUGAUCCUUUAAAAGCCAUUCCUUGAGUCUUUCCUGCCUGCACUGGUUUCUCUAACAUUCAAACCUGCAAACAAAAGAAAGAUGAAUUUGUGGCAGACUUUAAAGCCCAUUUGGAAGCUCUCUGGUAUUCCUGGCUCCAUACAAUAAAUGAGGUCACCCAACCUGCUUUACAUUUCCUAUUUGUAAACGGAUUAUCUCUUGAGAUUACUGGAUCGAUAAGAAGGCAGAAAAUGUGAUGGGAGACCACUGGUCUGAGUGAACUCAUAACCAUAACUGAGCACUUGAAACAAGACCACAAACACAAGUCCCUCAAGCUAUUAGUCUUACACCUGCGAUAGCUCUAAGGCCAAAAACCUAAAAUAGCACCUGGGGUCUGUCAUCAAAAUGCUAGCCCAGGGGAGGCAACCUGAGUGUCUAUGAUAAAUGAAUGGAUAAAGAAGAUAUGAUAUAUAUACACAUAUGUAUAUCACAUACACAUAGAUAUACACACACAAUGGAAUAUUAGCUAUAAAAAAGA
Manis javanica (Malayan pangolin) is the source of this 4086-nucleotide non-coding RNA. Lineage: Eukaryota; Metazoa; Chordata; Mammalia; Pholidota; Manidae. The record is from RefSeq and is a predicted model, not a curated record.